CUAUUAUACUCACAUUUAAAAAAAAAAAAAAUAAAUAAUAAACAGAAUUGAAAUUACAAAUGAAAUAAUAUAAAAAUAUUUGAAAAAAAAAAAAUUGAUUUAAUCUGGUACAAAUUCUUAUGUAUGUUGUGUAAAUUCACACAUGAUAUUUUCCGUCAUAAUGUGAAAAAAAAAAAAAAAUAUAUAUAUAUAUAUAUAUAUAUCCUUCGAAAAAAAAUUGUAUAAAUAUAUGUACAUAUGAGCACUUUUUUUUUUCAAAUUUUUUCUCUUUUCUUUCAAUUUUUUUCUCAUUUUUUUUAAUUUUUUUCAAUUUGUUUCUCUUUUCUUUUAAUUUUGUUUCCAUUUUUAUUUUUUCCAAGCUUAUUUUUUUUUGUUAAUUUUUUCCGCUUUUACUUCGCUUUCAACUUUUUUGAAAACACCGAACAUACACAAGAAAAAAUAGGCAAAAAGACAAACACACAGGCAAAUAUACAAACAAACAGACAAACCCACUUUUAACUGUAAACAAAUGAAAAAAACAAAAUGUCAAAUAACAAUUUUUUAAUUGACAAAACUGAAUACUCGUAUUUAUCCGAACUAACAUGUGACACCAUAAUAUAUGGGGAAAAUUUAUUUAAAGUCAUUUUUAAUAGAACAAAAGAAAAAGUUAAUGAUGAAGAAAAUAAUAACCCUCAUAACAAUAUUGUAACUAUAUCCUUUUGUUCAGACAUUUUACCAUUUUAUUGUAAAUCGGAAGUAGUACAUAAACAAAGUCUUUUUAGAUACCGUUUUGGACAUUCAUCUAUUUUAUAUAAAAAUUUUAUUUAUAUAUUUGGUGGAAAACAACAAGUGCCAAAACAAACGGUAAACUUUGUUAAGUUUGAUAUAGACACAUGUGAGUUGAAAACACUCGAUAGCCAUCAUACCCCAAUGGACCGAUAUUUCUUUACACUAAAUUUAAUACAUUCGGAAAAGUAUAGUGCAGAUUGUUUUGUUUUAUUUGGGGGAAAGAAAAAUAGAUAUAUAACAAAUGAUACUUACAUGUAUUGUAUUGAUAAAAAUAGUUGGGAAUAUCUGAAACCUGAAAUUUCACCACCUCCUAUAUACGGUCAUGUUUCUUUUCAAUAUAAUAAUGCUAUUUUGAUUCACGGAGGUAUGACCAUAUUUG
Molecule: long non-coding RNA, 1147 nt
Filed under: Piliocolobus tephrosceles (Ugandan red Colobus)
Lineage: Eukaryota; Metazoa; Chordata; Mammalia; Primates; Cercopithecidae
Description: lncRNA (ENSPTEG00000000390.1)
Source: RNAcentral